UUGUGUUACAGCUCUUUGGAGUUUGUCUAGUAGGUCUUCUAGCUUUAGCAGGAAGACCUAU
This 61-nucleotide small nuclear RNA is filed under the name Dasypus novemcinctus (nine-banded armadillo). Its description in RNAcentral is "U7 small nuclear RNA (ENSDNOG00000027589.1)". It matches the Rfam family "U7 small nuclear RNA". Rfam says of the family: Animal histone pre-mRNAs are spliced by a different mechanism than nuclear pre-mRNAs and self-splicing introns. This processing involves the U7 snRNP, which contains only one RNA species: U7. The 5' end of U7 RNA is thought to base-pair to a conserved spacer element downstream of the cleavage site in histone pre-mRNA. The record is from RNAcentral. Lineage: Eukaryota; Metazoa; Chordata; Mammalia; Cingulata; Dasypodidae.